ACGGCCUGAAUUAUUCUGUGAUCCCUGCAGAAAGCACCCUGGGAUCUGUCAUUACAGAUUCAAAAUGACCAUUAAAGCCAUCUGCCCCAGGCCUGACCCUGUUUUCUUUCUGCUCCCACACAGACCAGAGAAGACUUUCCAAGUAUUCAUUUUUCAAUGUUUUGUCUGUCCACACUAUAAUGUGAGUCCCUAGGGAAUGGUCCACUUCAGCCUUAUUCCACGAUUCUCUGGAAGAGUCAUACAUGAGGCACAGAGGAAGUUUUCAGAGUGGGCAGAGCCUGUCAAGGUAGAUGAAGUGCAUUCUGCCUUUGCAAGGUACCAGCUGACUGUAUCAUUAACAGCAAUGGUAAUAAAAAAUGCAGC
Molecule: long non-coding RNA, 363 nt
Filed under: Manacus vitellinus (golden-collared manakin)
Lineage: Eukaryota; Metazoa; Chordata; Aves; Passeriformes; Pipridae
Description: lncRNA (ENSMVIG00005011657.1)
Source: RNAcentral